GACAGAGGGUGCUAGCGUUGUUCGGAAUUACUGGGCGUAAAGGGCGCGUAGGCGGCCCGUUUAGUCGGGUGUGAAAUCCCGGGGCUCAACCCCGGAACUGCACUCGAUACUGGCGGGCUUGAGACCGGAAGAGGUGGGUGGAAUACCCAGUGUAGAGGUGAAAUUCGUAGAUAUUGGGUGGAACACCGGUGGCGAAGGCGGCUCACUGGUCCGGUUCUGACGCUGAGGCG
RNAcentral lists this ribosomal RNA (230 nucleotides) under uncultured microorganism. RNAcentral describes it as "partial 16S ribosomal RNA". It matches the Rfam family "Bacterial small subunit ribosomal RNA", at positions 524 to 753 of the family's 1533-position model. The record is from RNAcentral.